CCUACGGGAGGCUGCAGUAGGGAAUUUUGCGCAAUGGGCGAAAGCCUGACGCAGCAACACCGCGUGAAUGUUAAGCCCUUCGGGGUGUAAAGUUCUGUCAAUAGGGACGAAUUUUGACUGUACCUAUAAAGGAAGCACCGGCUAACUCCGUGCCAGCAGCCGCGGUAAUACGGGGGGUGCAAGCGUUGUCCGGAAUCAUUGGGCGUAAAGCGUUCGUAGGCGGCAAGGUAAGUCUGAUGUUAAAGCCCGGGGCUCAACUCCGGUUCGGCAUUGGAUACUAUCUAGCUAGAAUGUGGUAGAGGUAAAGGGAAUUCCUGGUGUAGCGGUGAAAUCCGUAGAUAUCUGGAGGAACAUCAGUGGCGAAGGCGACUAUCUGGCACAUAACUGACGCUGAGGAGCGAAAGCGUGGGUAGCAAACAGGAUUAGAUACCCGAGUAGUC
This 440-nucleotide ribosomal RNA is filed under the name uncultured bacterium. RNAcentral describes it as "partial 16S ribosomal RNA". It matches the Rfam family "Bacterial small subunit ribosomal RNA", at positions 338 to 795 of the family's 1533-position model. The record is from RNAcentral.